Molecule: long non-coding RNA, 416 nt
Organism: Arachis stenosperma
Lineage: Eukaryota; Viridiplantae; Streptophyta; Magnoliopsida; Fabales; Fabaceae
Exons: 3
Source: RefSeq, a predicted model, not a curated record
UAUAAGUUGGUCCAACUCAGGUUUAUUCCACGCACACUUCCUCCCUUUAAAUGGAGCGUCAAUUCCACGCGCGUCACUCAAACGAUUACGCUUCGAAAAAAUCGCUCGUUAUGGCUCACUCUUCCUCUUCUCCUUCAAAGAUAACACAAAUCCUCAAGUUUCGAGCAACAUUCUAAAUUGAAGAGACAUUCGAACUCGUCGCGAAUAAUAGCAGAAACCAUCAACAAAAUAUUAUUCAAGUAAAAAUGGAAGGCAAAAACCAAGCUGGAAAAAAUCAAAUCAAGAACCUAAAGUUUGCAACCCAUCUGUUGAGUGAGAAAUUCAGAAAUAUGAGCGAGGAAAAGUGAUGCAAUAAGACUGUCCAGGCCAUCCUCAUUGUUAUUGAGUCCAUUUUGUCAGAUAGAUUCUAAUGAUAU